This is a non-coding RNA of Podarcis lilfordi (Lilford's wall lizard), 7419 nucleotides long. The record is from the annotation of a GenBank genome assembly. NCBI's taxonomy places the organism in Eukaryota, Metazoa, Chordata, Lepidosauria, Squamata, Lacertidae.
GUAAAUGUUGCCAGUCAUUCAGUUAAGCUUUAAAAUGUUUGUUUUCAAAAGGAAAAUGUUGACUGGAAAUAUCUCGCCUUGUUCAUGUAUCAGUAAAGGUAAAGGGACCCCUGACCAUUAGGUCCAGUCGUGACCGACUCUGGGGUUGCGGCGCUCAUCUCGCUCUAUAGGCUGAGGGAGCUGGCGUACAGCUUCCAGGUCAUGUGGCCAGCAUGACUAAGCCGCUUCUGGCGAACCAGAGCAGCACACGGAAAUGCCGUUUACCUUCCCGCCGGAGCGGUACCUAUUUAUCUACUUGCACUUUGGCGUGUUUUCGAACUGCUAGGUUGGCAGGAGCAGGUACCGAGCAACGGGAGUUCACCCCGUCGCGGGGAUUCGAACCGCUGACCUUCCGAUCGGCAAGCCAUAGGCUCUGUGGUUUAACCCACAGCGCCACCCGCGUCCCCAUCAAUCAGUAGCCAUCAUGUAACACAUCAUUAGGAGAGGAUUGGCUGCUGAGCUUCUGGAUCAGGGGUAGUAUAAGAAACGGAAUAGAGAACUUUAUAUUAUCUGUAGAAGCUUGCCCAAACAUGUUGAGUUGAAUCUGACAUAUUCAAAUGAAUACUGGAUGAUGAUGAUGAUGGUGAUGAUGUUGCAAUAUGUACAUUUUUGCAGAAAAACAUUCACACAGUACUGGCAACCCCUUUCCUCCUUAUUUGCCAUUCAGGAUAUCAACCAGAAUCCCAGGCUCUUGCCCAACAUCACUCUGGGCUACAACAUCCACGAGAACUUCUUUCAUGGAAGGGUGACAUGCGGAGCUCUGGUAGACCUGCUGUCUGCUAGGCAGGCGAACGUUCCAAACUACAACUGCGGGGGACAGAAUAACCUGCUUGCUGUUCUCGAAGGGGCUGACACUCAGAACUCCAUCCAGAUUUCAAGAAUGUUGGGCAUCUAUAAAAUCCCACAGGUAGGAAUGGAGAGGGGUGUGGCAUUUUGUGGCUGAGCCAAAUUUUGGAGAAAGCCAAAAGAGGGUGGGGUAGAUGUUAAGUGUGAAUGAAGACAACUUGUUAUUAAUCUUAAUUUAUUUUUAAAAGAAGACAGAUGUUGGCAGGUUUUUUUAAUAUACCCUUUUAUAUACCCUUUCCUAAGAAUCCAUAGCAUCGAAUUUGCCAGUUUGCCGCAUACUAGGGUAACAGGAGGCAUCCACUAUAACCCCAAGGUCUCGUUCCUGGUCAAUCCAUGCCAUUUCAGCUCCAUGAGCAUAAAUGGGUACUGAGCUGGCAAGGUCUGGCAGGGGAAGAGCCCAUGAGGAGAUAGUGGAAAGUGCAUUUGGGAUUGCAGCCUUAAGUCUCUCUUUCUUUUUAAUGUACAGUGGUACCUCGGGUUAACAACUUAAUUUGUUCCAGAGGUCUGUUCUUAACCUGAAACUGUUCUUAACCUGAAGCACCACUUUAGCUAAUGGGGCCUCCGACUGCUGCCACACGAUUUCCGUUCUCAUCCUGAAGCAAAGUUCUUAACCCAAGGUACUAUUUCUGGGUUAGCGGAGUCUGUAACCUGAAGCGUCUGUAACCCGAGGUACCAGUGUAAUGACUAAAAAAGGGAUACAUGAGCAAUAAGGGUCAAUAACCAAUAGGACUGUCCUUUCAGGCAAAGCAACAGACGUUCAGGAGUGGUCAGUGUUGGAACGUUUAUCUAAUUUAGCAGAGUUUAAAUGAUUCCCUGUUUGAGUUUAUGCAGCGACUAGUGGAUUGCUAACUCGUUUGAGUCCUAUCAAUAUUUAUACAUUCCUGGCUGAUAAUCCCUUCUGUCCCUCUAAACAAAACACAUGAAUCUGAAUCAUAUUAACAUAAACUACUUCCAGUUUCAUUCAGUUUACAGAGUUGUUACUGAAGGCAGGCUGUAGUUACUUAACAGAUAAACUAUAUACUAGAUAGUAGUGAGUCAUGAGAAGACUGCAUCCGAGCAGUUACCAGUUAACACUCCUUGCAGCAACCGACCAACAGACAAACUGCCACAUAGAGGCAGUUAGUCCUCUCAGAAUGUUGGACUUGACUGACAGCUUCAUAUCCCACAGUCAGAUGGUUUGCUGUGCUCUCUUUGAAAACACCUGUCCUUCCUUCUCUUUGUGUCAAAUGGUGUGUGUGUGUUUGUGUGUGCGAGUAAAGGGGAACAGAAGUAAUGUCUGUAGUAUGGGUUGCUAUGACACUAAAUUCUGGGGCAAAUAGAAGUUGCCCUCAAGUGAACCCUGAAGUAUUAUUAUUAUUAUUAUUGUUAUUAUUAUUAUUAUUAAAAAAAUAACCCUCUUAAUAUUUUCAAACACUCUUAGUGUACCACAAAAACACAGUCUUUAGAACAAAUAACAGUAUCUUUUAUUUUCCAAAUCAUUGCAUAUAUAUUCCAGAAACAAAGGUAAUCCACACCCAACAAACUCAAAUGUGUUUUUCCCAGGGACAUUAUGCCUGUAUUCUCGUACAUAAAACAUGGCUUAUAACACUAUCCAUCUGUAAAACUCAUUUUUAUUAUGUGAUCCACAAAUCUGUAUAAAGGUUUGGAAUUGCUCUUUGGUUUUCUGGAGCAUUUGUGAACAAAAUAAACCUCCGCUAUUCUUCAGCAAAAGUGUGGUUGUGCUUUGUUCGUCUUGCCGGACUCAAUUUGUGUGUCAAUUUUUUCCAUAAGGGCAGUAUGCCAGAGUGCAGUUAUAACUGUACUUGCUGCCACUAAAAGAAUCCAAUUAGUGGUUUAUCCACCAAGUCUCAUUUAAAUUUAGAUUUAGUAACACAAGCUCUGGAGACUGAUGAGUGUUUUGACUUAUCUCAUUAAAAAAUUUUCCCCUCAAAACCGUCAAAUGGUAGCAUAAAGCAAUAUAAAAAAGAAAACCAGAAUUAAGGGAAUUCCUAGAGCUAAAAAUAGAACCUUAUCUUAUGUGUCAAGGAAAGCCUGGCAAAAGCAUUUGUCUUUUCGACUUCCAAAACGUUUGGAAACCAAAGUGCGGCUUCUGAUCGGCUGCAGGAAGCUCCUGCAGCCAAUCGGAAGCUGUGGAAGCCCCAUCGGACAUUCGGUUUCCAAAAAUGGUUCACAAACUGGAAUAGUCAUGUGACAUUCAAGAGCCAAAAUGUUUGGGAACUAAACUGUUCGACUUUCAAGGUACGACUAUAUUCAGGGUUAGCUAUAUUUUGGCUUUGAUCCAAAACUAAGUUAGCCAAUAAUGUUUAUUUUCUUGCCAGGUCAGCUAUGCUUUUGUCUCUCAUGUUCUGGAUGAUAAGAGGCAGUUCCCUUUUUUCUACCCAAUGGUCCCCAAAGAAGAAGCCCAGUACCCAGGGAUUGUCAAGAUGCUCCAUCACUUCAGAUGGACGUUCAUUGGUCUAAUUGCCCCCGACACUGAAAAUGGAGAGAGAUUCAUGAAGACCCUGACUCCUGUGCUCAUCAGGAGUGGUAUUUGUGUUGCCAUCUCACAAACCAUCUCGGUACUGAACACACAUGGAUUCGAGAUCAAUUUCCGCAAAUUCUUAAAGUGGAGACAAGCCCGUGUGUUUGUUUAUUAUGCAGAGACACUUCAUGCCUUGCAUGGAAUUUUCAUUCUACAACAUUUAUUUGAGAACUUGAUAAAGCCCACUGCAGGGGAAGUCCUGGUCACAACAGCUAUGUGGGACAUCUCCUUCGAGUUAAUGUACAGCGGCUUAUCUUACGAACACAUCCAUGGCAUUUUUUCUUUCUACACUGAAACAAAUAAAAGGAAAGAAUCUAACGAUAUUCCAUCCCUUUUCUUUGCAAUCAAGCAGUUUUGGGAGGAUGCUUUCAGUUGUUCCUAUUUAAAGCAUGCAUGGUCGGUGAAAGGCUGGAUAAGAUGCAGGGAGAAAGGAAAACAUGAGAUGCUGCCCCAAGAUGAUAUGGAAAGAAGCCUCUCUCUAGACAGCUACAGGAUUUACAACACUGUCCAAGCUUUGGCACGUGCCUUAAAUGCUGCAUAUUCCUCCAGAUCUCUGUGGCGGGUGACAGACAGCCUGGAACGUCAAAGGCUACAGCCAUGGCAGGUAUUUUUCGUUCGUUCCAUAAGAUGCACCUGACCAUAAGAAGCACCUAGUUUUUAGAGCAGGAAAACAAGAAAAAAUAUAUAUUCUGAAUGAAACAGUGGAUGUAUCAUUUUUGUGGUUCAUGCUGUGGCCACAGACAUGUGAUCUGAUGGUGAAUUUGGGGUGACCCAAUGCUAAAACCCCGAGGAUCCAUGUGGAUCCGUACUUUGUAACCACAUUUUUGCACCACUGCAGCUUGUAAAACAGUGACUGAAUUUUCCCCCAAACCUCAGGCUUUUAUAUACAUUAUUUACACAAUGAGUCCCAUCUGAUUGGCUGUUUCUGCUUCCCUCCUGGAGCCUGAUUGGUCUUUUCCUGAAGGCCAAUCAGUUGUUGCAUUCUAGGAUCCUACCUGCCUAUUGUUCUAGGAUCCAAGCUUAGUACAUAACACUUAAACUAGUGUCAGAGGACACAGCACCUCUGGAAACAGCCCCCACCACUAGAUUAGCACCCCUUUCCCUCCAGCGGCCAAUUUUGAAUAAGACUCCUUACACAUUCUGCAAGAGUUCUGCAGGGCAAGGGAGAUGCCAUUACACAGACUCACUCUGCCUCCGGACUGGGGUGCCCCUACCAAGCUCAACUUAGCUCUAGCAUAUGUCCAAGGGACUUUGGGUGUUUCUGGAGCAUGUAUUGAGUGUUUUGGUGGCUGUCAGGGGCUGGUCAGAAUCGGAUGCCAGAGACUGCUUUGACUCCGAAGAUGAAGGAAUGUAGACACAGACAGAGCAGCCUCUGACAGAAGAAGAAGGGGAGAGUUUGCCCCUCCUUCCUUCAACUUUCCCAGCAGCUGAUUCAGAGACUGUACAGUUGGGGGAAGAGCUGGAUAGCUUUGAGUCAGUAGCUAGGCAACCAGGAGGGAGGGAGUGUUUAGGAGACUUUUCAUUCAAGAGCGGCGGGGACUUUCCUCCCUCCCCUCGUACUUGAAGGUCUGAAAGGGUGUAUGGGCAACCUUUUCCUGAAGGCAUUCCUAAUUUUGAGGAGUUUAGUGAUCUAACUUGGUCUUCUCUUCCUGCCUCUGUUUAUUUCCCUUCUCCAUCUCUUGUUAAAGUUCUUUGAUGGCUGAGAACAGCCUUUUAAUGUAUAAACUGGUGGAAGGAAGAAGUGAUAAUGCAGGGCACCUUCUGACCUUCUUUGUUGUUAGACAUUGUUUGGAGGAAUGUGCGGUAUUGGAAGAGGGGACUAGCUGUGGUGUAGUGGUUAAGAGCGGUAGUCUUGUAAUCUGGGGAACCGGGUUUGAGUCUCCGCUCCUCCACAUGCAGUUGCUGGGUGACCUUGGGCUAGUCACACUUCUCUGAAGUCUCUCAGCCCCACUCACCUCACAGAGUGUUUGUUGUGGGGGAGGAAGGGAAAGGAGAAUGUUAGCCGCUUUGAGACUCCUUAAAGGGAGUGAAAGGCGGGAUAUCAAAUCCAAACUCUUCUUCUUCUUCUUCUUCUUCUUCUUCUUCUUCUUCUUCUUCUUCUUCUGAAUAAUCUGCAACUGGGCAGUUGGGCAAGCCAUACAGGCUAGCUAUCAAUAAAUCAGAUGGUUUGGGGCCAUAGCUCAGAAGCUCAUGCAUGAACUCCUGGCAGGAGGGUCAUGCAACCUUUGCCACGUCUUGAGGGCUUCCCAGUGGCAGAUCUAAGUGCUUGCUUGGUAAUGUAUAUAAUGCUUGCUGUUUAGAAUAAAAUAUUUAAUCUUUUCACUCACUUGUGUUUGUCUUGCUUCUGAAUCUCAUUAAAAGAACCACCUUGCAUUUGGCAAGACAAAGGGUUAAGGCUCAACAGAAGCACAGGGGCAGGAGAACAGGGCACUGGCGUGCUUCUUGCUGCAGAAGAGGCGGGAAUUCAGAGUGGGCAACUGAGAUCCUGAAGGAGGGUGGCUUGAUGCCGCUCUCUCUGUGUUGUUGUAAAUAAAGAGGACUAUAAACCUGUCAGAGGCUCGUUAAUUCUUAUCGCGGGUUCCCAAAGAGGAGGGGAAACUCCCAUGCCUGCCUGCAUAUCUCGCAGUGGCUCCUGUACUCAUUAUGACGGUGUUUAUAUGUUUUGGCUUAUUAAUAUGCAGCAAACCAAUCUUUUUCACAUCAUAAACAGCAGAGUUUCAUACCGUUUCCACACAGAGCAGGUAGGAGCUGUGUGCUGGAACUAUGUUUCAACCAACUGAUGCAGAGGCAAGGAAGCCUGUCCUAACCACAUAAUAAAGACAUAGUAUUUUUACAGCCUAGGGCUUGCCGAUCGGAAGGUCAGCAAUUCGAAUCCGCGUGACGGGGUGAGCUCCCGUUGUUCGGUCCCAGCUCCUGUCCACCUAGCAGUUUGAAAGCACGUCAAAGUGCAAGUAGAUAAAUAGGUACCACUCCGGCGGAAAGGUAAACGGCGUUUCUGUGCGCUGCUCUGGUUUUGCCAGAAGCGGCUUAGUCAUGCUGGCCACAUGACCCGGAAGCUGUCUGUGGACAAACGCCGGCUCCCUCGGCCUAUAGAGCGAGAUGAGCGCACAACCCCAGAGCCGUUCGCAACUGGAUUUAACGGUCAGGGGUACCUUUACCUUUUACCCUAUGUGUUGCUAGCCAGAAGUCCCAUUAAGUUCAAUGGGGGAUACUCCCAUUGUUAGUAAAUUCAGCUCCAGUCCUCCGAGCUGAUACGGCUUGAGCCCAGCAGAGUAUAAAACACCCAGAGUCCGCAACGUAUGGCUACAUUGCUAAGCUUUAUUACUAAGCUAUGCAGAGAGCAUACAAAUAUACAUCUUGUCUCUGUGAGAAGCAGAGAGCAACUCCAAAAAAAGAAACAACAGUACAAAGGAAACAGGAAACCAGUAUACGUCACAUCCCGUCUCCCUUUCCCGUGGGAAUCCACCAGUAUCUGGACUGUGGAAUGAAAACAUAGUCCUGUCACUACCAGCAGCUGCUCAGUGAGGGAAACAGAAACCAACAGGUAAGUGUGCACAGGAUGGCAGCCUAGACCUACUUACCUGGGAGUAAGCCCCAUUGGGUGCAAGUUUCAGUGCAGCAAGCGCUUGAAAAUGAUGCACAGCUUCUUGAUUCUCUACGCAGUCCAAGUCAGAGGAGAUCAAGGCACAAAAAGGUCAGAGCUGGAUAGUCAGUGUCCUUUCCCACAUUUUAAAUGCUGUUCUUUCUUUUCCCUUCCAGCUCCACCCUUUCCUGGGAAACUCCCAGUUCUACAAUUCUUCCAUGGAUGGAGUGUAUUUGGAUGAGAAUGGGCAAUUAGCAGCUGACUUUAAUGUCGUGAAUUGGCUGAAGUUUCCCAAUAAGUCCAUCCUUAAAGUGAAAUUUGGGAGUAUCAACAGACGGGGUUUGCCAGACCUACAAUUCACCAUUGACCAGGAUGCCGUUGUGUGGCCCAAAUGGCUCAGCCCGGUGGGAGAAAUCAUCUUUCAUGGUCC